RNAcentral lists this ribosomal RNA (813 nucleotides) under Pseudomonas sp. PsTp142. Its description in RNAcentral is "bacterial SSU rRNA". It matches the Rfam family "Bacterial small subunit ribosomal RNA", at positions 321 to 1126 of the family's 1533-position model. The record is from RNAcentral. Lineage: Bacteria; Pseudomonadati; Pseudomonadota; Gammaproteobacteria; Pseudomonadales; Pseudomonadaceae. RNAcentral also lists the same sequence under 1 other name.
GAGACACGGUCCAGACUCCUACGGGAGGCAGCAGUGGGGAAUAUUGGACAAUGGGCGAAAGCCUGAUCCAGCCAUGCCGCGUGUGUGAAGAAGGUCUUCGGAUUGUAAAGCACUUUAAGUUGGGAGGAAGGGCAGUAAGUUAAUACCUUGCUGUUUUGACGUUACCAACAGAAUAAGCACCGGCUAACUUCGUGCCAGCAGCCGCGGUAAUACGAAGGGUGCAAGCGUUAAUCGGAAUUACUGGGCGUAAAGCGCGCGUAGGUGGUUCAGCAAGUUGGAUGUGAAAUCCCCGGGCUCAACCUGGGAACUGCAUCCAAAACUACUGAGCUAGAGUACGGUAGAGGGUGGUGGAAUUUCCUGUGUAGCGGUGAAAUGCGUAGAUAUAGGAAGGAACACCAGUGGCGAAGGCGACCACCUGGACUGAUACUGACACUGAGGUGCGAAACCGUGGGGAGCAAACAGGAUUAGAUACCCUGGUAGUCCACGCCGUAAACGAUGUCGACUAGCCGUUGGGAUCCUUGAGAUCUUAGUGGCGCAGCUAACGCGAUAAGUCGACCGCCUGGGGAGUACGGCCGCAAGGUUAAAACUCAAAUGAAUUGACGGGGGCCCGCACAAGCGGUCGAGCAUGUGGUUUAAUUCGAAGCAACGCGAAGAACCUUACCUGGCCUUGACAUGCUGAGAACUUUCCAGAGAUGGAUUGGUGCCUUCGGGAACUCAGACACAGGUGCUGCAUGGCUGUCGUCAGCUCGUGUCCUGAGAUGUUGGGUUAAGUCCCGUAACGAGAGCAACCCUUGUCCUUAGUUACCAGCACCU